UAAAAGACAUUUCUUAGCAACUCUUCAGCUAAGAAAUGCUUAAGAGACCACCAAUAAGGACAUGCACAUGGGCGUACCCACAAAUGUCCUACACACAAAAAAAGAAAAGAAAAAAUGAAAAAAAAAACCUGAAGGACGUACGCAUUUGUGCUACGGUCCCGUUUAUUGUUGCCCCUUUUCGCGGACCUCACUGACACGUGCCGGCCCGCGAUUGGUUAUUUAUUUUUUUUUAAUAUUUUUUUUAUAAUCGUAAAAGAAAAAAAAAAAAAGAUUUUGGGACAAAUGCUUGUCCCACCAAUGUGCAUGGUCUAAGGACUGUGUAUUACUGUUAACACUUGUGAAUUUGGUCAAAGAGGAAUUAUUGCAGAUGUUAUCGUUAUUGUUAAUA
Molecule: long non-coding RNA, 388 nt
Filed under: Capsella rubella
Lineage: Eukaryota; Viridiplantae; Streptophyta; Magnoliopsida; Brassicales; Brassicaceae
Description: long non-coding RNA (CRUB_LNC001730)
Source: RNAcentral